Diceros bicornis minor is the source of this 353-nucleotide long non-coding RNA. RefSeq lists it as uncharacterized. The record is from RefSeq and is a predicted model, not a curated record. Lineage: Eukaryota; Metazoa; Chordata; Mammalia; Perissodactyla; Rhinocerotidae. The transcript has 4 exons.
CCGGAAGCGCGGGCGGCGGCAUGGAUGGAGCGGGCGUUCUGUGCGGUGUGUUCCGUCUUCUCGGCGCGGACCGCAUUCCCGUGGAUGUUCGCCCUCAGGGGCGGGGCUCGACACGAAAAGCAUCCGUGGACCUCAAGUUUGAGGUGAAACCAGGCUCAGGGGCCACCUGUCCUCGCUGAUCCAUGGAUUUCUGUGUGACCAGGUUACACCUAUGGAGCCGUGGCCCCGACUACCAACAGUGAGUAUUCCUGGCCCUGAUCUCCUGGGUCCCGUCUGCAUUUGGAGUUUGGGAGCACUUGUUCUCCUUCACCUGCUGUCCUUGGCUUGCUCAUCCCUCUACUCACACAGUCACC